GGGGGUGUUCCGGAUUCGACGGGGUGUAGGACGUCGUACGGUGCAUGCCGAGGUCUAGUCACCUCGUUAAACAGCUAGACAAAAAUAAACGCCAACAACGAGCGUUUCGCUCUCGCCGCUUAAUGCCGCGAGCGAUGCACCAAGUGGUCUCUGGCUUGGGCCGGGUUAAACCGGCAGCAUCGUCAUUUCACAGAGUCUAGGUUGAGCCGGUGUCGCGACGGCACAUCCGAAACUUAGCGACUGGCCGGCAGUAGGCCCGUUCAUUGGCAGUGCUGUCGGUAAGAUCUCAAAAUUAGUGAACUAAACAUGUAGAUCCGACGAAAAAAUCACUUCGGACGCGGGUUCAAUUCCCGCCACCUCCACCA
Molecule: transfer-messenger RNA, 365 nt
Filed under: Burkholderiales
Lineage: Bacteria; Pseudomonadati; Pseudomonadota; Betaproteobacteria
Also listed under: 2 other names
Description: Duodenibacillus sp900552545 Standard tmRNA
Rfam family: transfer-messenger RNA
About the family: Bacterial tmRNA, also known as 10Sa RNA or SsrA, is named for its dual tRNA and mRNA-like properties. Its role is to liberate the mRNA from a stalled ribosome. To accomplish this part of the tmRNA is used as a reading frame that ends in a translation stop signal.
Source: RNAcentral